Saccostrea cuccullata (small rock oyster) is the source of this 656-nucleotide long non-coding RNA. RefSeq lists it as uncharacterized. The record is from RefSeq and is a predicted model, not a curated record. Lineage: Eukaryota; Metazoa; Mollusca; Bivalvia; Ostreida; Ostreidae. The transcript is spliced from 4 exons.
UCCCGUUAAAAACGAAAGCGAAACAGGAAGUAAAGUCUGUUAAUUAAGUCGUUCGUUUUCUGAUUAUUGAAAAGAAGAGGGGAGAAUGGACUGAUUGAUACAAGGAUCCAGAAGGUACUGAAAAAGGGACAAUGCUUCGACUGAAUGUGUCAUCCAUGUACCAGUAUAGAUCUGUUAAUGAGGCAUAUCCAAUAAUUCUUAUACUCAUGAAGAGUUUGGCAACUUCCAAGUAGUUAAUGAUGGCACUCAUUUUAAAUCAGAUGCUCACUUCUAGGAUGUUUUCCACGUUCUUGUGAAAAGUGUUUUACGUGGCACCAUUCAGAUACAAAUACUUUGCCGAUGGAACUGUGACAUCAAUCAACUGCUCAUGCCACUGCUAAGUAGUGAUGAGUGUACUGGAAGUUUUUUCAGGAUCUUGUCCGACAUCAUAGGUACAACUGGUCACUGUGCUUUCUUGGUUAUAUAAGAAGAUAUAUUGUUAAAGCGGUGACAUAUGUAGCUUCAAAUGAUGCUUGACUGUUAAAGUGUUUUUCUUCAAUUUAUAAGUAAACCUGGAUUGAUCUCUGAUGCAGUAAUAUAGAGCCAUGUCCAUUCUUUAAAUUCCAUCAUCCCACUGUCACAAAGUACUGAAAUAAAAAUGAUUUUGAUUUUAAAAA